GGGGCCUUCCCGGGUGGGCUCGCUUGGAGGGGAAGGGCGAGGGGACAGUCAGUGGUUUAGGGGCGAAAGAGGUACUCAGGAUAGGAAAUUGAAAUCCGAGUGUUAGAGAGAAGUGGGAACCCGAGAGGUUGUGAGUGCAGCAGGGGCGGGAUUUGGAGCGUGGGAACUGAAGUGCUCCCCCAAAUGCAGAUCUGAUCCGAUCUGAUCUUGCCUAUGCUGAUGCUUACCACUGUACAGGCGAAAUGAAGUCCCUGCUGCUCGGAGAUUAGAGUCAGGCGAGCGAGACUCUAGCGUCGGUGCAAAAUUUAGGAGAGCACCAGAAAACUGAAGAUCAGUCAUUAUUUUAAUAUAGUAUUUUUUAAAAAGCCAAACGACUGCCCCCCCCCCCGAAUUCCUGCAUCACUCGCCUCAUUCUCAUCCCACCCCUGGGUCCAGUACAACUCAGUUGCCUACACAGUCUGAACAAGUACCUUAAAUCGAUGAAGCAGAGAUUGGGGGAAUUGUUGCCUACCCCAGACCCUUCUCUCAGCCCCAGCCAAGUGUUUGCCCUAUCUCUUCAAAUUGCCACAAAUCGAGACUUUGUGAUAAAUAUCUCGAGUUGUAAAUGUUAGUUAUACGUGUCUAAAGUUUUAAUUUGCAAGCCAAACGAAUCCCACAGUGAAGCCAGAUUCAGCCUGUGGGUAGCCAAUUGUAAUGGCUGAUCCAAUGGCCUCUUAAAUAUGCCCUUUUGUGCUCCCCACCCACUUCAAGCUUCUGGAGUGUUCCUUCCUCCCUUCCCCUCAUCUCCUCUGUAUUUCUCUAUGAGUUUCUUUAUUCUUAUACCUGGCACAGUGGAUUUAGUAUUUGAGUUUAUGCACCUUUCCCAGUAAAUUGUGUUUCUGAGUGGUUCUACAUUCUCCCUACAGGGAAUAUUCCAGAACUUUGAACAUAAUGGAUACUCGAUUUUUAAAAGUCUUGAAAACACAGUCGAGCCAAAAAUGUGGUGCUUCAGCCAAAUGACAGUUCUGCAGAGAACUGCUCGGUGGCAGGGUGCCUAUAAUACCUUUUCACCGACACUUGCAUCUUCAAGAUUAUCAGGGACCUUUUGGAUACUAACUCUAUGGGACACUUUGAAGUCCCAUACUUGGCUUGACGGCCUUACUUGACCAUUUUGUAGCCAUUUGAUAGUGUUGGACACUACUUUAAUUUUGAAACUCUCUUCUACCUUGGAUUUCACAACACCUUGCUCUCUUGCUGACCCUUCAGAAGUAUUGAAAUUCUGGAUACUCCUCUACAUCUCUGUGUUAAGACCCCUCAUUUGCCUGUGUGUGUGUGUGUGUGUGUGUGUGUGUGUUCAACUCCUUAAUCUUUUAUUUCAGAAAAUUUCAAACUACAGAAAAGUCUAAGCACAGGUAUAUACUUCACCUAGAGUCAUCAGUUGUUAAUGUUUUGUUACAUUCACUAUAUACACGUACACACAUACUUUUCUUUUUUCAGAACAGUUUGAAAAUAAGUUGCAAACAUCAUCACACUCAAUCCAGAAACACUUCAGCUUUUAUCUCUGCAAGGCAAGGACAUUCCCCUACAUACCCAUAUGUUACAGGUUCAGUGCUUCAGGAAGUCAUUUCUGAGUGGAGGUCAGCCGGCAGGUUUAUUAAGGAGUGCUCCUGGGAUCAUCCCCUGUGCAAGGGGAGGGGAUUGCAAUCACGUUCAGGGCCAAUCCCAGGGGAAUUCUAACGCUGGGUUGGUGUUUCAGAUCUGUCAUGAGUUGGCACAAGGGGGCUGGGUCUUCACGUUCCCAUGUUGAUAAGUUAUUGUAUGAGGGCUGCCCCGGAAAGGGUGUGUGAUCUUGGGCAAACGUGUUCUCUCCUGAGGCAAUUCAGGGAAAUGUCAAGUCCUUCAUUCCUGCAGGGAUCUGAGCAGCACAUAAGAUUCAGUCCUGUCUUGUCCUAGUAUGUUCGGGCUACCAUAACAAAAUACUACAAGGUGGGUAACUUACAAACAACGGAAAUUGAUUUCUCACAGUUCUAGAGGCUGCAAGUCUGAGCUCAGGGUGCAGGCACGGUUCUCUUCUGGGUGGCGGACUUGUGGGAUCCUUCCAAGGUGGCUGGGACAGGGGAGUUCUGUGGAUCUCGUUUAUGAUUGCACUAAUCCCAUUCAGGAGGGCUUCACCGUCGUAACCUCAUCACCUCCUAAACGCCCCACCUUCUGACACCAUAAUGAGUGUAACGAUAUCCAGUGUGUGAGUCUGGGGGCAGCACAUUCAGGCCGUAGCCACUUUGUGCUGGGAGAUCCACUUCUUGGUGUAAGCGUGAGGAAGUCCCUAGGGUACCAGAAGGCCUCUUUUCCUAGGAAGAACGUAAAAGAGGAAGGACGGAAGGCAAGUCACAGCCCCUACUGCCACAGCAGUGCCCCGUGGUACUUACCGAUGUCCUCCUCUACCGUCUGUUCUCCGUUCUCAUGCCUUCAGCUGACGCCACUCCUGGACUUGGCUUUCCUCGCGGCAUGACCCAGACCGUCAUCUGCAAGAGGUCUGAGCCCCUUGUUUCCACGCUCUUUUCAGACAGUGCCUGCUUAACCUGUCCGUGGCCCAUCGACACUGGGCAAGAGGGAGUACCAAGAGGCACCCAACCAGACCACUUGGGUGCCAAACAUUCCUCCUUGCUGCCCACCGUGUGCCUGCAGCGUGGCCUCCUGAUGACCAGGGUCAGUCACUCUUACCUGCACGACUUCUCUCUCUGCGUGCCGGCCCCUCCGUCGCUCAAGUGCCCGGCUGGCAACUGUGGCUAAUAUUUCAGUGGGACUCCUGCUGUGUCCCAUGGUGAGGGCAUGCCCCCUUUUACAAAUUAGAACUAUCAACCUGGAGCAGCCAGAGUUGCAGGGACAAGAACAGUUUCCCAGGUGGGUCACUGAAAGAGUUUUAUUUGUAGGGGCCAAACUGUCAAAAUGAUGCAUGGAGUUAACAAUGGAGGUCACUGGCCCUGCAUUCUUUCGGGGCCUUAAGGAUGCCACUGAUUUCUGCCUUCCCCUUCCCCCGGAGCUGCAGGGCCAAUCUCAAAAGCUUGUUUCAGCCUUCCCGCUACCACAGUUGUGACGCCACAGGCCAAGGAACCGAUGUGGAGGUUCUGCCCACCUCCCUUGACGUCUAAUCUAACUACACAUUGAAGAAUCAGGGAGUUGACCGUUGAUGGGGUCCAUCAACCCCGGGACCCGAUACUUCAUUUAUUAUUGGGCCUCGUCUGCCCCCACUCUGACAGAGGCCCACAGUGACUCUGCAUCUCCUGGUUUCGGCCUCGGCUCAGUCCCCACGUUCAGCAGUCCUCAAAAGGGUUUUGCCUCCCGCAGACUCCACAGUCUCAGGCUGAAAACGGCCUCCGUUCCAGACGUUGGCCAAGGAAUCAUGGCUGCUCUUCAGGGCGACUGUCCUCGGCCACCUGAUUAUCUAUCCAUGAAUUCCUUUGAUGGUACAGAUUGAGGACUAACCCACCGGGGCUGCCCAUCUGUUUCACCCACCGGUGUUCUGUGAACCAUCUCUAAGGCUCACCAGGUGAACCUUCCUCCCCGACCCCUCGACUCGUUCACAAUAUGCAUAAGCACAGCCCUGUUGUGUCCACAUUGCUUGAAUAUCUGAACACCGAUACAUCAUACCAGCUUGUUUCUACUUUAUACCCCCCCAGUUCGCUGCUGGCAAGAGUUUUACAACCUGCGCGUCCCCAAACUACCUACUUUGUGCCAGGGGCUUUUCGUGCUCCAGCUGCUAUCAGUGCGGAGGUCUUCGUGGCCAGCCGGGUGGCCGAUCCAGCUCCUAACUCCUGUCUUGGUAUCCCCUCCCCCAACCCCUUCCAGUACAAACUGCCCCAAGUGGGACUUUCCAGGAAGCAGCCACCGAGGUGCAGAUUGCUCUGUAGGAGUGCUCUUGGGAUCAGGACCUGGGAGGGGAAGAAGGUAGGGUUAGGGGAAGAGAGACAUUGUCUGAGUUCAGGCAAGGCGGACUGGCUUUGUACUCCCACACUGAGCGGGCACUGGGUGUGGGCCGCCCAGGAGGGAGGGGGCUGUGACCUUGGGCAGGGCAGUCUCUGGCUGAGGCAAUUCCAAAGAGGGUUAAGUCGUUGAGGAUGGUGUUCCAGAAGCUGGGGGAACACAUCCCUUAGUCCUGCUGGGGGGCCUGGGGGGGAGGGGCAUCGCACCUUGCAUUACAUCACGUUCCCAUUGUCACAUGCAAAGAAACUCCUAGUAUUAGCCAGUAUCGAGUGCAUAUCGAGACCUUCCCAUGGGCCCCAAAUGCCUUUCCUAGCUUUUUUUUAGUCCAGAAACUAAUUAAGAAUCACUCAUUGCAUUUUGUUGUCAUCUCUAAAGUCUUUUUCAAUAAGAGCAGUCCCCC
Neofelis nebulosa (Clouded leopard) is the source of this 4360-nucleotide long non-coding RNA. RefSeq lists it as uncharacterized. Lineage: Eukaryota; Metazoa; Chordata; Mammalia; Carnivora; Felidae. The record is from RefSeq and is a predicted model, not a curated record. The transcript is spliced from 2 exons.